GUGAUGGCCAGUGGCCACAACAUCCCUGAAAUGGGGGGGGGGGAUGGGCCAAGAGAAAGACAGGAGAAAGGCAGUGAGAGUAAGCCCCUGCAGCGUCCAAUAGUACCUUUCUAGAUCAGCAGGUGACUGGACAGUGUGGAAAUACAGGAAAGUGCAUGGGUCGUAAGUUAUUGUUUGUUUAUUGGGGCUUUGGGGCGCCGACUACUGGUCUGAAGUAAAAGGGAACUGAAAAAACACAAGAAUAAUGACAAACAAAAUUAAGUACCGACUUACCUAACCAUCCCCUCCCCCUACAGCUCCCCACCAUGACCCCGUCCAACCCCGCGGACGACUGUGGAUCGCUGUGGCUGUGGUACCUCAGCGUCCCCACCGUGGUCACCCUGGUGAUCACCGCUACACCGCCAGGUCACUGGUUUUACCGCAACCGCUUCCGCUGGCCCGUCAGCAACCGCCUCAGCUGGUGCCUCAAGGAGCUGCCCGUCAUUUCUGAUUCCGGCCUGGCACCUCUGGUCAGCCCCGGCUGCGACCAGCCUACUCCGGCCGCCGCUGCUGCCGCUGACACUGUUCGCCGCUCACUACUUCCAGCGGUCUCUCAUCUAUCCAUGGCGAAUAUCCGCAGACUCAACGGAACCCGCACCAUACGUACUCAUGGCUACCGCCUUCACAACGUGGAAUGGCAUGGCUCAAAGUGCCGCGGCACUGCAGUGUCCGGCGGACAGUGGCGACAUCUAUACGGCACGACACCUGAUUGGUGCUGCCAUCUUUAUGAUCGGCGCGGCGAUCAACAUUGAUUCGGACCAGCGUUUGCUCUCGCUGAGGAGACCCGGCGGGCCGCGAUACAGCGUCCCUCGUGGAGGGUUGUUUGAGUUUGUAUCCGCUGCUAACUAUUUCGGAGAGAUGGUGGAGUGGUGGGGCUACGCGCUGGUCUCCUGGACGCCCCCGGCGCUGGGGUUCGCGAUGUUCACGACUGUCUACCUCACGGCCUGUGGCCACGAGCUGCACAACAAAAACCUGGGCAGAUUUGGGGACCAGUAUCCGAAAAACCGGCGGAGAGUCAUUCCCUUCAUAUUCUGAGGCGUUCUCAGACUAAAUAAGUUACGCUGAGAUGUUCAAAUGGGAAGCUUCCAAAGUUUCAAAUGGAAACUAGCGCUGAGCUUCAUGGCAAUUGAAUAUACGAAUGUGUUACAAUGA
This is a long non-coding RNA of Amphibalanus amphitrite, 1191 nucleotides long. RefSeq lists it as uncharacterized. NCBI's taxonomy places the organism in Eukaryota, Metazoa, Arthropoda, Thecostraca, Balanomorpha, Balanidae. The transcript is spliced from 2 exons. The record is from RefSeq and is a predicted model, not a curated record.